AUACGGAGGAUGCGAGCGUUAUCCGGAUUUAUUAGGUUUAAAGGGUGUGUAGGCGGUAUUUUAAGUCAGUGGUGAAAUCUUUCAGCUUAACUGAGAAACUGCCAUUGAUACUGGAAUACUUGAGUAUAGUUGAGGUAGGCGGAAUAUGUAAUGUAGCGGUGAAAUGCAUAGAUAUUACAUAGAACACCGAUUGCGAAGGCAGCUUACUAAACUAUUACGGACGCUGAUGCACGAAAGCGUGGGGAGCGAACAGGAUUAGAAACCCUAGUAGUCC
Molecule: ribosomal RNA, 274 nt
Filed under: uncultured bacterium
Lineage: Bacteria
Description: partial 16S ribosomal RNA
Rfam family: Bacterial small subunit ribosomal RNA
Source: RNAcentral